Molecule: unclassified non-coding RNA, 21 nt
Filed under: Dictyostelium discoideum
Lineage: Eukaryota; Evosea; Eumycetozoa; Dictyosteliales; Dictyosteliaceae
Source: RNAcentral
UCGCUAAAGAAAUCUAUGGUU